This 254-nucleotide ribosomal RNA is filed under the name uncultured bacterium. RNAcentral describes it as "partial 16S ribosomal RNA". It matches the Rfam family "Bacterial small subunit ribosomal RNA", at positions 524 to 776 of the family's 1533-position model. The record is from RNAcentral.
GACGUAGGGGCGCAAGCGUUUGUCCGAUUUAUUGGGCGUAAAGAGCUCGUAGGCGGCUUGUUGCGUCGACCGUGAAAACCCGUGGCUCAACUGCGGGCUUGCGGUCGAUACGGGCGGGCUAGAGUUCGGUAGGGGAGACUGGAAUUCCUGGUGUAGCGGUGAAAUGCGUAGAUAUCAGGAGGAAUACCGGUGGCGAAAGCGACUCUCUGGACGGCAACUGACGCUGAGGCACGAAAGCGUGGGGAGCAAACAGG